Molecule: transfer RNA, 67 nt
Filed under: Marmota monax (woodchuck)
Lineage: Eukaryota; Metazoa; Chordata; Mammalia; Rodentia; Sciuridae
Description: tRNA.Val
Source: RNAcentral
GGCUGUAGCUCAGUGGUAGAGUGCCUGCCUCACAUGUGUGAGGCACUGGAUUUGAUCCUCAGCACCA